Molecule: long non-coding RNA, 674 nt
Organism: Arabidopsis lyrata subsp. lyrata
Lineage: Eukaryota; Viridiplantae; Streptophyta; Magnoliopsida; Brassicales; Brassicaceae
Exons: 3
Source: RefSeq, a predicted model, not a curated record
AAAUAGUUAUUUCAAUAACACAAGAAUUUAAUAGAAUCUACAAAAAGUCAAAAUGAAUAACACUAGAAUUCAAAUUCUGUUUAAUUCUAUCAAUUUCCUUCGUCCAAUACCCCCCCCCCCUAAAAAGCUACGCUUCUCUUCUUCUCUUCUCUCUUUUACACAUUCGAUCUCUCUUACUGAAACAACAGAGAAGUAAGCUCGGCGAUUUCGAGUUUGUUCCCAGACGAGUUUGUUCUUGAUUCAGCUUCCUCUGUUCAUCAAUCUCCUGACUUCAAAGUGACUUUGGAUUUGACCCACUUGGACUUGGAGAAGUUCCAGAGAACCUUGAGAGAUACAAAGAAUCAGAGCUCAUCCACUGUAGAUGGGCUAUGCUCGCUGUUGUUUAGUCUUCGUUUAUAGGAUUCUGUGUGCAACAGUCGGCUUACCCGGGGACUGGACCAUUGGAGAACCUAGCAACUCACUUGGCGAUAUUGUUAUUCCUUCCAACUAAUGAAUGUAAAAAUAGAAAUAUGUACCUUAUGAGCUUUAUGUGUAUCAAAAACAGUGUGUAAGGAAAGUCAGAUUUGUGAAAACCUGUAUUUUGUCUUGGUACUCGAUUUGCUCGUGUGAGCUUGAAUUCUAAGUGAUGAAACCUUUUGAACCCAAAUAAGGUUAAUUUGUAAUAUAUUAAAUCU